RNAcentral lists this unclassified non-coding RNA (378 nucleotides) under uncultured Parachlamydiaceae bacterium. Its description in RNAcentral is "contains 16S-23S intergenic spacer region". The record is from RNAcentral. Lineage: Bacteria; Pseudomonadati; Chlamydiota; Chlamydiia; Parachlamydiales; Parachlamydiaceae.
UCCCAGUUCACCUGGGCAGUCUCGUUAGAGUUCCCACCAUUACGUGUUGGCAACUAACGAUAAGGGUUGCGCUCGUUGCGGGACUUAACCCAACACCUCACGGCACGAGCUGACGACAGCCAUGCAGCACCUGUGCACCAGCCCCGAAGGGAGUCGGCAUUUCUGCCGAUGUCUAGUGCAUGUCAAGCCUGGGUAAGGUUCUUCGCGUUGCAUCGAAUUAAACCACAUGCUCCACUGCUUGUGCGGGUCCCCGUCAAUUCUUUUGGGUUUCAGCCUUGCGACUGUACUCCCCAGGCGGUAUACUUAUCGCGUUAGCUUCGGCACAACCAGGGUUGAGUCCGGUUACACCAAGUAUACAUCGUUUAGGGCAAGGACUAC